AAAUGAAUUGACGGGGACUCGCACAAGCGGUGGAGCACGUGGUUUAAUUCGACAACAAGCGGGAAACCUCACCAAGGCUUGACAUGACGCUGCAAGCCCCGAGAAAUCGGGGCCGCCUACGAGGGUGCGUCACAGGUGCUGCAUGGUUGCCGUCAGCUCGUGUCGUGAGAUGUACGGUUAAGUCCGAUAACGAGCGCAACCCCUAUCCUAAUUUAUACUUUAUUAGGAAACUGCCUCGGAUAACGAGGAGGAAGGUGGGGAUGACGUCAAAUCAGCAUGGCUCUUACGCCUUGGGCAACACACAUGCUACAAUGGCCGGUACAGAGGGUCGCUAAACCGUAAGGUGGAGCUAAUCCCAUCAAAACCGGUCUCAGUUCGGAUUGAGGUCUGCAACUCGACCUCAUGAAGCCGGAAUCGCUAGUAACCGUGAAUCAGCACGUCACGGUGAAUACGUUCUCGAGUCUUGUACACACCGCCCGU
RNAcentral lists this ribosomal RNA (480 nucleotides) under uncultured bacterium. RNAcentral describes it as "bacterial SSU rRNA". It matches the Rfam family "Bacterial small subunit ribosomal RNA", at positions 903 to 1397 of the family's 1533-position model. The record is from RNAcentral.